UUACAUUCAGAAUAUCCAUAA
Molecule: non-coding RNA, 21 nt
Organism: Caenorhabditis elegans
Lineage: Eukaryota; Metazoa; Nematoda; Chromadorea; Rhabditida; Rhabditidae
Source: Ensembl